UCUGCGUCCGCAUCGUCUUUCGUGUGUUUCUGUGUUGAAGAGGCGCUGAGCACAGUAGCUAUCGGUGUCUCUUCGUUUUAUUCCGAUUACGAAUCCUCAUCAGUUCUCACUGGGGACAGAUCUACUACAUAGAAGCAACCGAGAGCAUGUUUUGUUUUCAGGAGGUAAAUAAGACCCACGGACACCGUGUAUAAGCAUUUCUGAAGGGACUGCUUGAGAGUUUAAAGGAAAGGAGAGAAUAUAACAUUUGCUAGCUAGCUUGUCAGCUCUAGCUUGCUAUCUAUCUGCAAGGGGGAGGGUAACGUUAACCCACUGGAAAAAGGAAGCAGAGAGUGAGAAAGACGACAAACCAGCCGUCAUUAGUUGCUUCAAGCAAUCAGGGGUUGCCCGCUCUGUGUGAGUUCGAGGCCCCGUUUGGCGGAUCGUACUACGCACUAGCUUAUUAGCUAGCUACCAGAGUCUACCCAGAGGUUCUCGGAAGAGAGACAGUUCUGUUUGUGGGCCACUGUGAGGAGCAGAAUCAAUGCCAAGCCCUUCUCCUCCUCGGAUAGCCUAGCGAAGGUGCAGGAGGUCGCAAGCUGGCUUUUGGAAAUGAACUCAGAUCUGCUGGGGGGGGCGGGCAGGCGGAGGAGGCCG
Conger conger (European conger) is the source of this 636-nucleotide long non-coding RNA. RefSeq lists it as uncharacterized. The transcript is spliced from 3 exons. Lineage: Eukaryota; Metazoa; Chordata; Actinopteri; Anguilliformes; Congridae. The record is from RefSeq and is a predicted model, not a curated record.